Molecule: ribosomal RNA, 274 nt
Filed under: uncultured bacterium
Lineage: Bacteria
Description: partial 16S ribosomal RNA
Rfam family: Bacterial small subunit ribosomal RNA
Source: RNAcentral
AGACGUAGGGGGCGAGCGUUACCCGGAAUCACUGGGCGUAAAGGGCGUGUAGGCGGCUGGGUGGGCCCUGGGUGGAAGCCACCGGCUCAACCGGUGGAGGGCUCAGGGGACUGCCCGGCUCGAGGGCGGGAGAGGGAGGUGGAAUUCCCGGUGUAGCGGUGAAAUGCGUAGAGAUCGGGAGGAACACCGGUGGCGAAGGCGGCCUCCUGGCCCGGCCCUGACGCUGAGGCGCGAAAGCGUGGGGAGCAAAGGGGAUUAGAAACCCCAGUAGUCC